AUAAAUGGGUGGGCAAAGAGGACAGGAUUUUGCAGAAGGGUGUCUCAAAUCCACCAUUUUAAGAACCCCCGCCCCCUCUCUCUCUCUGCUUCGAUUCUCUCUAUCUUCUUGCGGGGGGGUGACUGGCUCGUAGUCGUGGUACGAGGAAGGUGUGUGUUGAGCAAGAUGGAGAAGCAGGGCACGUGCAUUACUAACCGAUAGCAUAUACACAUUUCUUGCUGAAGUUAAUUAAUUAAUAUGAGAGUUAAUUAAUUAAUAGGUGCGGUGAGUUAGUUCUUCAUGUGCCCGUCUUCCCCAUCAUGACCACUGCAUCUUAUUUUAUAUAUAUAUAU
RNAcentral lists this long non-coding RNA (332 nucleotides) under Betula platyphylla (Asian white birch). RNAcentral describes it as "salt induced long non-coding RNA 4". The stretch from base 157 to 307 matches the Rfam family "MIR164 microRNA precursor family". Lineage: Eukaryota; Viridiplantae; Streptophyta; Magnoliopsida; Fagales; Betulaceae. The record is from RNAcentral.